AACGCACAUUGCGCCCUUUGGUAUUCCAAAGGGCAUGCCUGUUCGAGCGUCAUUUGUACCCUCAAGCUUUGCUUGGUGUUGGGCGUUUUGUCUUUGGCCUGCCCAAAGACUCGCCUUAAAACGAUUGGCAGCCGGCCUACUGGUUUCGGAGCGCAGCACAUUUUUGCGCUUGCAAUCAGCAAAAGAGGCCAGCAAUCCAUCAAGACUUCUUCUCACUUUUGACCUCGGAUCAGGUAGGGAUACCCGCUGAACUUAA
RNAcentral lists this unclassified non-coding RNA (256 nucleotides) under uncultured Pleosporales. RNAcentral's name for it is "sequence contains 5.8S rRNA gene, ITS2, 28S rRNA gene". The stretch from base 1 to 52 matches the Rfam family "5.8S ribosomal RNA", at positions 103 to 154 of the family's 154-position model. Lineage: Eukaryota; Fungi; Ascomycota; Dothideomycetes; Pleosporales. The record is from RNAcentral.